AUUGAACGCUGGCGACAUGCCUUACACAUGCAAGUCGAACGGUAACAGGUCUUCGGAUGCUGACGAGUGGCGAACGGGUGAGUAAUACAUCGGAACGUGCCUAGUAGUGGGGGAUAACUACUCGAAAGAGUGGCUAAUACCGCAUGAGAUCUACGGAUGAAAGCAGGGGAUCGCAAGACCUUGUGCUACUAGAGCGGCCGAUGGCGGAUUAGGUAGUUGGUGGGAUAAGAGCUUACCAAGCCGACGAUCUGUAGCUGGUCUGAGAGGACGAUCAGCCACACUGGGACUGAGACACGGCCCAGACUCCUACGGGAGGCAGCAGUGGGGAAUUUUGGACAAUGGGCGAAAGCCUGAUCCAGCAAUGCCGCGUGCAGGAUGAAGGCCUUCGGGUUGUAAACUGCUUUUGUACGGAACGAAAAGCCCUGGGUUAAUACCCUGGGGUCAUGACGGUACCGUAAGAAUAAGCACCGGCUAACUACGUGCCAGCCGCCGCCGUAA
Molecule: ribosomal RNA, 498 nt
Filed under: uncultured bacterium
Lineage: Bacteria
Description: partial 16S ribosomal RNA
Rfam family: Bacterial small subunit ribosomal RNA
Source: RNAcentral